RNAcentral lists this long non-coding RNA (433 nucleotides) under Phoenix dactylifera (date palm). RNAcentral describes it as "long non-coding RNA (PDAC_LNC005744)". Lineage: Eukaryota; Viridiplantae; Streptophyta; Magnoliopsida; Arecales; Arecaceae. The record is from RNAcentral.
GAUUAGAACAUCAACAUCCCCUGUUUCUCCGCAUUGUAACCAUGUCACCUUCUUCCCAGAUUUCUUCGCAACCGCAUCUAUCCCCUGCUCCCAGCUCAUUCUAUGCUUCGGUCAUUCAAGAUCAUCCCUUCAUUACCGUUUAGCAUCCAUCAUCAAAGCCCCAGCUCAUCUCCUCUGUUCACGCUCCCAGCCAGCAAUCUUCUUCCGGAUUCCCUGCAUCUCAAAAUGGAGUCCCUCCACGGGAUGAACCCAAAUCCCAUCUUCCGGCUUGAUCCCAAGGAGUCAUCUAAUGCAUCCUCCCCUGCUUUGAAACAAGAGUAUCAUCUUUGUCUUCUUCCGAACCAAUCUAUGUUCCGGAUUGAUCUUCAUCCAGUUUCCUCUUGCGAUACAUGCCAUUCGGAUCCACGAACAAAGCCCGAGUCUCCAGCAUAUC